This 11355-nucleotide long non-coding RNA is filed under the name Mytilus galloprovincialis (Mediterranean mussel). Lineage: Eukaryota; Metazoa; Mollusca; Bivalvia; Mytilida; Mytilidae. The record is from RNAcentral.
AUUUUGUGUACAUCAUGGAGACAUACAAAAAAUGCCUUCGAAUACUAUAAUGAAGUGUAAGAAUGUUUGUAUUCGGAGUAUUAUAUUUGAAAUUAUUGGUAAUUGUGUAUAUAGAAAAAAAAUGUAAACUGAUUUCUGAAUGUGUUCAAACAUAUCAUAAUGUGGCGUCAACAAUUAACUUCCCAAUAUAAGCAGACAUACGACGCUACGUAUGGUAAGAACAAACUUAAUCUUAAACGAAUAAUUCUUGAAUUGUCUUUGUGGUAAAAGUUAAAUGUUUAUGAUUUGAUAUCUACCUUAGAAUUAAGAUUUAUGUGUAUGGAUACAACAUAUAAACAAUAAACUAUAAAGUUUUACCUGUGUAGUGUAAUAUUGUGUUUGCAUUAUAUUAUAUUUUACUCAAAUAUAGAUACCAUAUUUAAAAUUGUGUUCACCAGAGUCAAUAUAUAUGUAUCAGUUGUUAUUUGUCUUUGUUGUGUACAUAUGUGUGAUGUUCAAUUCUUAUUGCUAUGAGUUCUGCUAUACAAUUUAUCAAAUCUUUUUCGCCGGUGUGUAUGUACAAAAACGUGAUUCCAUUAGGAACAAAAGGGGCUUAAAUUAAUGAUAGUUCCAUCGUCUUGAGAUACACACAACAUUUUUUUGAGAUAGGAGAUAGACACCAGAGGAACAGUCAAACUCAUAAGUCGAACAGACAACGCCAUGGUUUCCGGAUAACGUUCAAACGUAAAGAGCAUUCGUUGAAAUACAAAUGUAUAUGUUACAGUAAAUGGUUGAAAUUAGGACUUACAUGAAAUUACUAGACAAUUUAGUAAAUAUCUGUAAUCACUUAUAUUUUAUAGGUACAUGAUGUAGUCACAGAUUAUUCUGCGUUUUUACAGCUAUUUCCUAACUUUACAUUUUUGUUUCAAUAUUUUUGACAGAUUUUAAGAAACCUUAUGAAAAAUACAGGGGUACGGAUUGUAGCGCUGACUUAAAGGAAAAAAGGUAUCUUAGGUUCAAAGGGGGGAAGUACUUUAUCCGCUACUUAUUUCAUUGUAUGUGAAUAGUCUUGAAAUUUAGUUUCUAAGUGGUGGUUCUUUCCGGAGUACAUGGGUUGUCUUUUUUUCCCUUAUGUAUGCCGAUGAUAUGGUUGGUUUCUGAUUCUGUUAAAGGUACAAAACAAGUGUGUUAGAUACAUAGUUACUGUACUCUAAUAAAUUACUAAAGUUAUGUCAUUAAGAAAAAAGAUUGUUAUGUGAAGUUAAAAAGAAACAUGAUAGUUAUUUGAUGGUUAUGUUAAUGACAUUGUUGAUGAUUUUGUUUUACGUAGGUUCACAGUUGACUUAUAACAGUAAUGUUUUUGGGAACUAAGAAACAUUUAGCAGAACAAUGUACAAAGUGGUAUUUGCCUUGAAAUGAAAAGCAGCAUUCUUAUGUUUGAAUGUUUUCAGAGUACUCGACUUUGUUUUAUAUACAUCUUAGUGGUAUUUUAUGUUAUGGUAGUAAGACAUGGGGAUUUCAUAAAGCUCCAAAUAUUGCAAAAGUUCAGUUAAUAUUUUCACAAAUAUAUUUAGUAACAAUCAACGUACCACAUAUGUAUUGUUGUAUUAGCUUGGUACAAAUCCUGUGACAUAUUUAAGAUUCUAUACUUAACUUUUAUCAACAAAUAACUGUUUACUUCUAUUGACGAAUAAAAGAAGGUUCUUAAGGUAGAUGGGGUGUCUAAAUUAUAAUCCAUAGAAUUUUUUAAUAAUUGCCAAAAAAGUUUAUAUUAUGUUUUUAAAAAGUAUAAAAAAAAUGGUCCGGCUUUUUUCAUGCUACACGGUGUUCAAAAUUUGUUCAAAUUUUGUAUAGAUUAUUGCAUUUGGAAACCUCCAAUUUUCUGCAAUAAAGCGUAAACUACACCAUAGAAUUUGCAGACUAACAUAUGAGAAGAUAGCUUUAAUAGGUAUGCUUUCAGUUUAGAAAAAGAAAAAAUGAGUCACCGGACCUGUUUUAUUGUUACAUAAUAAAAAGAGAAAUUCCUAACCACAUUCUAUUGUAAAAAACCUUAAUCUGAAUUAUCUGCCCUUGCAUUUGAGUUGCCCCCCUUAUGUAGGCAAAGUGGAAAAAAAAUUGUUCAAACAAAAAAUUUCUGUUUUUUGGUAAAUACAAUCAAAAAUAUGAGUAAAAAACAUGCAUUUCUAUGUAGAAGUGGAAUUUCUUACACAUGAAUUAUCUACUUCUCUAAAAAUUUGCACAUUCUAUUAAAUAUCUAGACCUUGUUUUCUGGUAUUUCCAAAUCCAAGAUGGAGGAAGACACCCUAUCUACCUUAAUAUUAUUAUAAAGCCUUUGUCAAUUUCAUCGGCCAUUAGUGUCAAUGCCAAAUGUCAGUCUUUGAAGAAUUAAAAUAACAUAUAAAUCAAGACUGAAGAACACGAACCAAGCAACAGUAUGUUGUUGACCGCUUGUGCUUCGGAAGGGUUAGCAGGUCACGUUCUACUUGUAGCACCUACUGUUAUGUACCACUAAUGCCUACAGAAGCACGUCAGGAAUUUGACAGUUAAUGUCCAUUCAUUUGAUGUGUUUUGGCUUUUGAAUUUAACACAUGAUAAAGACAUUUUCGUUUUAUUUUCUAUGUAGUUUGUUAUUCUUCUUUUUUGAUACAUGUAAACCACAAACUGAAAAAAGCCAAAGGUCAACAUAUUGCAGAUAACUCUUUAAUAUCUUACCCAAAUUUAGCCAAAUUUUGAAGACUACAUAAAAGUUAUACUGUACUGUAAUGAAAAUGGGAUACUGUUUUAUUCAAGGGUUUUUGUUAAACCAUUUGCUAAUCUUUUACGAUAAAGGUAUCGGUCUUUUGUAUACAAACCGUUAAACCACCUAACUACAAUACUUAAUAUAAAUUAUUUUGUAUAUAAUAUUCAAAAUGUACGUAUGUUUGCAAAUCUUCAUCGGACUAAGAAUAAUGUGACUUACUAAUUGACGGAUGGCUUUAACUCGUCAACAUUAUUUCCGUAUUAAAGUAUUACGAAUUCGAAUUUGUCAAUUGUUAAAUAUUACACGAAACUUUAGCUCAAAAACACGUAUCCACAUAACAUCAUUAUGAUACUUACAUGACGAUUGUAUAUUAAAGAUACAUGUAUCUACUUGCUGUAAAACAUCAUCAAUUAAAAUACCAUAUAGCUUGAUGCCCUUUAUCAACAGAAAAAUAAAUCCCCCAUAAACACUUAAUCAACUCUAUAUUUUUGUAUUUCGUGGAAGGACACGCUUGAUUUUUGCAACAACAUAGACUAAUCACCUACGAUUUACUGACACCAAAUUAAGAAAUGUUUGAUAUGCAUUAAAUAAAUCCAAUUGAAAUUCUGUCUUUAAUGGAUUUUAAUAAGUUAUUCAGAAGGAUCUUUUUAUUUUUUCGAACCUUUAUGAAUAUAUCAAUGAAUAUGCUUAAAUUCAAAUUGAAAAAUGAGUGGACGAAAAUAAAAAAAAUUACUAAUUAGAAACUAUUCCUCAAGUUUUAACCUCUGUAGUAAAAUGUUAUACUAAGCUUUUUCGGUUGCUCAUCAGUGAUGCUAGAAUCAAAAGCAAUACAAGUUUUCAAAAACAAGUGAGAAAAAAUUUUCCUGGUUCGGAAAUUAUUAGUUUUUUGAAAAAUUCAAAGUUUUGAAAAACCGUAAAACGAGGAAUAACGGAUCAGUAUGAUGGUGUUUCUUAUUGGCAGCAUAUGUGUGCAUCAAACUGUGCGCCUCUCCUGUCUGACGUUCAUAUAUGCAUGCUGACAAGCUAUAGAACAUAAUAAACCGAUAAACCCGAUAAUUCACAAGUUGUAUUUGUAAUGAAAAUUCAUAUUUUCUUCACAAACAAAUAAUUUUUCUCUGGUUACCAAGUUGUAUUGCAAUCAUUUGAAAUACGGUUGUAGAACAAAAAUUGCCCUUGAUGACACUUUGUCCAUCUGAUUUGAUAUCUUUUAUGAAAGAAUAUAAUUGUAAUAUAUUGAAAAAUAAAUGGAGUGAAAAAGGAUGAUAAUAAAUUAUAUGAAAUUAAAUGUGUAUUAAGUUAAAUUAGCCAUUAGCCAUAAACUAACCAUUUAAUUAGUUCAUGAUCAGACACGGUCUGUGUUAUUUCUAGAUGCAGUAUUGGUCAUACUUGCAUAACACCUGAAUAUCGUCUACAAAAUGAAGAUGGAUCACAAUGUAUACUUUGCAAAUGAACUUAUACUAUUUUAAAAAAAACAACAAGUUUAAAUCAAUUUCAUUGACUUUGCUGAUAUUCUUAGGAAGCAUUUCAAUGUCAAUAAUAUGUAUGUUCAAUUUAAUAUAAACUUUUUGUAUCAAGAAUAAAUGAUUUUGAUGUUGAUCACGUUAUCUUAGUUUUCAUUUUUAUUUGUAAAUAAGCAAUUUUGCAUUCGACUUGAGUUUAAGUAUCCUGAACGAUAUAUCGUCUGGAUUAAAAAAAGAAUACUUAGAAAUGUAAAAAUAAUUGAAUAAGCUCUCGCCGCGAUGUAGCCUGUUUUCACUGUUGUGGCGUAAGGAAACACCAAUUAAUCAAUCAAUCUCUGACCUCUUUUUAUAUUCAUAUAAGUCGAUGUUAUUUUAGAUACUGGCACAACAAAAAGUCAUAGCAGCCACAUCACUUAAUUUCACAUUUCAGAUAUAUUGACGAUGUUUUUUUCCAUUGGCAAUCGAAACUUUUCUAGUUGGUUUCGUUAAAUAUAUAGAAACAAAGAAACAUCACACACAGCUUUAUAAUUCUAACUUUAAGAUUUAUAUCUCAGAAUUGUCAUACGCGGUCAUCUAAGUACCAUCAUUUAUGAAAAAACAUUACAGUUAAACCUUUACUGUUUGAAAAAGAAGAUGUGGUUUGAGUGCUUAUGCAACAAUUCUACACAGUAGAAUGUAUGAUACAUUAAUUAACAACUAUAAUUACCAGCGAAGUUUACAUACACGAUGAAUCAAAUCUCAAUUUUUUUAGUAUAUAUGCAACACUCAGAAACGUGUCCUGCCCUCUAAACGUGUCCGACUGCGGUAAAUUGUUUACAUAAUGUUAAUGAACUGCAAGACAAGUCUUCAUGUAAAAGGGUGUCAUGUUGUGUCAUUUGUAUAAACGCCAAAACGUGUUCAUUGUUUUAAUGAACACCCAAACGUGCCCGAUCUCCCAAACAUGUUCUUAUCAAUCUUUAAUUUCUUUUCUUUUGAAUAAACUGUCAUUCAUUUCCAUAUCAUAAAUACGUAUGUUAUUUUGUAAUUGAUUUUACAUAACGUAUACACUCUUUUUCCCAAUUUCAUUAUAAAAUAGAAAUAAAUUACUAUUGUUUUUUUUCUUAAACCGGCGGUAUAGCCUUGGUAAAACUGGGGUAGUCGUCCGUUCGUCUAUGUUGUAUGUAAAUGUAAGCAGCUAUGUUCAAUUGACUUGUAGAUAUUAAAUCAGACAUCUCGUGGAGGGAGAAUAUUUUAUUCUCUGCGCGUUUCAACCUUAAAUUUGUAUAGCAGUACUCUUUCAUGGUGCCAUCAGUUGUAUUUUGGAGGCAAUAUUUGUUUUAUUCUUUCCACAACGGAGAUUGAAGUAGUUUCUUACUGAAGUCAUAAAAAAGGUCUUUACUCGCUAUGAGAUUUAUUAGAUAUUAGUUAUAUCAAUGUUAUCUAGUUGUUAUCCCGCAUAACCGUACAAAUUUAGGCCCAAUCAUAAAGUCCCGUGAUGAUAAUAGAACCUAUCUAUAGUUUUUUAUUGUUGAAAUGGUGUCGUUCAAAUAAUUCAUGAAAUAUUUGGCACUGGACGUCAAGUCUCUUGUUCGUGUGUCUUAAAUGAUGCUCGACACCUAAAAUUUAGUAAAAAAAAACUGAUAACCAGUCUAUAUCUGGAAGAGCAUUUAAAAUACCAGAACUGUGGAAAAAAUGAAGUGAAACUGCUAAAAGCACGCCGUACAAUAUUCGGGUUAAUCGAAAAGGCAUCAUCGGAGUUUAUUGGAACAUAAAAUUAACAGAGUAAACGAUUAUUUCAACUGUACUAGAAUAUUUUCUAUGCUCUAAAUGAGCAUUUUCAAAAAUACUAUCAACUGGGCAGUGAGCUUUGCAGACAAAACUUAAUUCAUAUGUUACAUAUCAAAUUUGCAAUAAUGAUAAUAACAAAUGAUCGGCAUUGGACAAACUGAUAAUCAUAAAUGACUAUUUUAUCAACUGCUUCCACCAUCAAAGAAUUGCCGUUAAAGUUACAUGUAUUUAUGUCACUAAAACAUACAUGUAUUAGCGUUAAAAACGUUUAACAGAGGACAAGUUUUGGCAAUAAAACAUUAUCGGACAUGUUAGGAGGUUAUGCAAUCGGACACGCUUGGGAAAUAAUAAAUAAUACGGACACGUUUAGGGAGAAUAGACACGUUUGGUGAUAAGGACACGUUUGGGGUGAUGAAAACGUUUAAAAGUUUUACAUAUCUAUUUGAAAAGAUAUGAAUAAGUGUCUUAAACGUUUGUUUUUGUGCAUAUUGCAAUUUACACGACUUUAUUAGUAACUGGUGUUUCCUACGUACAAUGAGCAUGGCAAUCUCUACACUUGUGGCAUCGGAUUUAUAUCCUUCUGGUCGGACAUAGCUACAAAAUUGAACAUCGUGCACAGCGAGCGGAUGCUCAACUUUAAAAAAGGCUUAACUGCCGGUCGGAGGUAGGCCAGGGAUUAUUUAUAUCUACUAGCAUUUAACCCUAGAAAGUAUAAAACAAAAUUAGUAUCCAUACGGAACAGCGGAGCUUGUUUGAUAAUGUUCAUGUCUUGAGACAUGACAUUUUUUUUAAGACGUUUUUUUUCAGUUUAUUAUAAAAUGCAUUAUUCUGCAUGGGUGAUUACAUAUUCAACAUAAACAAUGCCCAAUAGUACUGCAACCGACAUCGAAAAAGACGCUUAGUUAACGAGUUUAAUGUCCGGAAUAACACCGGCUGCAAAUUUUUAAAUGAUAGAAUAAUAUCUAUAUUUUAAUUCCGUCGGGUCGUAAAAAUUUUUGUAAAUUUUUGUAUUUAUCUUUAAUGGUACCCCUCAAUUUACGGUUUUGGGUAGUUACCUUAAAAUCCAAAAAUAUUUUUUGGUAAUUUCCUAGUUUUCGUAAUAUUUUCUAUGCACAUAUAUCAGGAUACCGAAUGAUGAGACAUAAAUAUUAUCCAUUUCCAAGUAAAACUUUAAAUUAAAAUUGGCGUUUUUUAUAUAGAAAUUAACCGUUUUCUUUGAAACGAGAACAUAUGAUCAAAAACAGUAUUUGACAUUUGAGAGACACAACAUUUAUUGCGUACUGCAUGCAAAUUUUUUUGGCAAAUUCCAAACAAUUUUGUCAAAAACUCAAAAAUAAAAACAUCAUUGUACUUUUUUAAUUACGGAAAUUUCAUCCGUCAAUAGCUCCACUUUAUUUUUUCAUCACAUCAAUUGAUAGUUCGAUGUGAUUAUGUAGAUUUUGUAGGAGAAGUUCAUUUUUUUGAGUAUUUGAAUAUAUAUAGUAGUUCUUUCGUUAUUUCUGUAAAUAAGUUUAUUUUUGUAAUAAAAUUUUGACUUUAUAUAAAAGUUACAAAUCUUCGGAUAAGAGGUUUUUCGGAUAAUGGCUAUAGUUACAUUGGGAAUACAUUGUUGUCAAUGUUUACUCAGAGCAUUAAUAUGCAUGCAGUGGUCGGGGGAAAGUACUAUUGAAGUUCGCAGAGAUUUGUGUUGACAAGUAAUGCUAAACAACUUCUCUUAUAUUCUGCUUUCCUGGCGAAUCAUCAGUGUGUUUGAGACUUGCACAGAAGCAAAAUUGUGCGUCUUAAAUUAAUUGAUUGAUUAUUGUCGUUGCUUAAAGUCCAGUGAAAUUCAUAGCAUGUCAGGACGAGAACAAGCUAACAAUAAAAACAAUAGUAGUUUGUCAUAAGAGGCCAUCGGGAUGAUGAUCGGGAAAAUUAGACUGCCUGGAAAAUAUGGGAUAUUGGAUUGGACAGAAAUUUCCAUUGCAACUUGCCACCUACGGGACCCUUAAAGAGAUGAGCAAAGGUUUUUAACGUGCAAAGAACGUUACACUCCCUUUACACGGCAGCGGAUUUUAACGUCCCCAUUCUGAUCGGACGUGACUGCGAACUUGAUACAUCCCAACAGCCAAACGGACGCCCAACUUCGUUUUACUGCCGGUCGGGAAGACAAGUGACCAUAUUUCGUUUCCCCAGUCACCCUUGGGGAACUUUAAAUUUAGAACAACAGAAAUCCAUAUAUGUGAUCAAACUGAUCGACAUGUAACCUCACAACCUGACACUUUAUACGAUCUCGCGCUCAGUUUCUUCUUGUAGUUGGAUAUGAAACAGGGUUUUGUGUAAAAGAAAACCUUUAAAAAAAACAGAAAACUACGCAAAACUGAGUCCUCUAAACGUGUUAACAGUCUUUUAAGUUGUGCUUAUAAUGUGAGUAAUCAUUUAUACAUGGCAUAACAAGUACUUAUUGAAGUCAACACCUGUGCAAUUAAGUAAAACAGUCACUGAAAAAUAGAAUUUGAACUUUCUGUCAGUUCAUUGAUAACGAUUGUUAGUGAUGUGAUUUUUUUUCCAUAAAAAAGCCUUUCUCAUGUAGCACAUCCUCUAUAUAUACCGAUCAAUUUUACCCAAGAUUGUCUCUGAUGCUUACCAAACUGCCAAACUCCAGAACUAACUAGAUAUUGUGACACUUUACAAUUCAGACACAGUGGUGCCAAGGGAUAUGAAUUAUAGAGUUUAGCACUGAACUCAAUUUAGGGGAUGCCAUAUCUGCUGCAGGAAAAUUGAAGUCUAUAUUAAGAUUUUCAGAAUUACACCAAGGUGUGUCUGAAAAUAUCAAGGAUACAUUUAAAGAAGAACAAUUACUUCAUCCUGCCACCAGUGGUCUUAUGAGCUAUGUCCUCGUUUUGGUAUUUCUAUGGAAAUGAUGCCCGCAUAGCUUGUUAAUAGAUAUAGAAGAUGUGGUAUGAGUGCAAUGAUACAACAACCAUCCAAGUCACAAUUUAUAAAAGUAAAGCCAUUAAAGGUCACGUCCGGUCUUCAACACAGAGCCUAGGCUCAAAGUUCAUUGAUAGUUAAUCGAUGAAAAAUAACACAAAGGCACUUCUGAACCGUAUAUUGUCCCUAAAGAUAACAAAAAUUCGUAAAUGUAUGGCUAUUACAAAAUCAAUCGUUUCUGUAGCAACAUUCGCCCCUUUACAUUUGGACUGCAGUGCAGAUACAUCAUGCAUAUGCAUAUGGAAUAUGGGUCACGAACAUUGAUCGAAACUUUGUACUCACAUUUCUUUUGUGUUUCCAUGCAAAGGGAGACUAUUCUGACGAGUUGACCAAAUCAUGCGGUAUUUACGCUCCAGAUAGCAUUUGUACUAAAAAAACUGUGUUUGCUUUGAACAAAACUCUGUCCUGCGCGAACUUGGUUCUUAUAAAAAAGGAAGUGUCUUGUAAUGCUAAUACUCGUACUGAAUCCGCAUAUAAAGACUAAGAGAUUGAUUCAUGUCCCUAUUUUAUGAAAACUUGAGCUAUUGUGUGUCGUUUAAAGUUAAUAAGAUCAUGAAUGAAUUUGAAUUACAACAUUAGAAAUUGGCAUUGCAUUGUAUAAUUUUUCAACCUUCCUUAAAAAAUCAAUGAGUUAACUUUUUACCAGGAUUAUCCUACUAAAAAAAAUGUUCAUGCACAAACUGACUUUGUUUUACACUCAUUUUUUUAAACCUCGCAUUGCUCGGUGACUAUUAGUAUUUUUGUGUUAUUACUGCUCUGUCCAGACUUUGCAAUACACAAUAUGUAUUAUCUAUAACUAGAUACUAAUUUUCACAAAAUACACAACCUUUAAGAUGCAAAAUUAAAAACACUGUUUCAGCGCUUGAAUUUUGUUUUUUUCAAAGAUAGAAAAAAAAUUCAAAUUAUUUGAUAAACUGGUGUUUUAUACUUUAGAAAAUAUUUCUGUAAUAUACUAUAGUGAAAUACUAUACAUAUUAUGAAAGUUUAUGGAUGUGAAAAGGUCAAGGCCACUUCUUCUUUUGCUAUGUCUUAAAUGGAAAAAAAUCAGAAGGUUCCAAAUCAACGCCAUUUUGUAAUUGCAGCUCUUCAUAUAAUUAGUCAAAUUUGUCGUUUUACAUCGUUUAUAGCACUAUGCUUAUGAUUGAAUCGUUUUUGUAGCAUUCUAUUGAAUAAAUAUCAGAAUAUUUCUCCUUUUUGUUCUUGUGUUUGAAAUAUUGAUAUUUUUAGGUCUGACCUUUGACCUCAAUUUCAACAAAUUGUGACACUCUGGAUUUUUACGACCCAAUUUUCUUAUUGUACACGUUGUCCUCUUUCCAUCGAUAUAAUAUUUAGGUGUGUGUUCUUCCGGACCAUUAAAGUUUUAAAAAAUGAACUCUGGUUGCAGUACUACAAGUAUUGAAACAUAUAGUAAAUAUCUUACAACAUUAAGUUAAACUGUCAAAGUAUCUGCCAUGGGCUGUCUAUAUUAACUGUGUUUGUUUAUAUGAUAAUAGCUUUGAAAAACAGGUUAAAUUGUUUUUGAAUGAUUUCAAAAUUUAAAGUCAUCAAUUAUGUUAAACAAACAGAUUUACAACUCACACAGUGACUGGAUACAAAAAUAAUAGCAUAGUAACCACACCACAUACUCAUGUGGAUAACUUUGAAAUUGUCAUUGUGCAAAAAACAAAAUGUCAAUAGUGAUUUGAUCAUUAGUCCACUUUUAAACAGGAUCUCCAUGUAUUGAUGAAGUCCUGUUGCUUAUUCUUUAGUUUUCUAUAAUAUGAUUUGUGUAAUAUUGUGUGUCUGUUUGUAUUUUUCCGUUUUUCAGCCAUGGCGUUGGCAGUUUAUUUUCGAUCUAUGAGCUUGACUGUUCCUCUGGUUUACUUAUUCAAUCAAUUAUUCAAAAAAGGCGAGAAACAUAUUUUGUUGAAACAUAUGUCAAUAGAUACUUCGAAUUUGCAAAGUAUGAACACCUUCCUUAAUUUUCAAUUUAGGCUUCCAUAUCACCUUAAGUCGUUCAUGAAAGUUUUUCUAAAAAUGGGAAAACAAAUUCCAAAAUACUAAGCCUUACAAAAUUAUUGUAUGUGUAUAGGUUGCAGUUUUGUCACAAUUAAACAUUGCAAUUUUUAACUAGAAUUACCUUAACGGCUAAAACUCUGCAACUUAACUAUGAAGUUGCGUAGAAACAAAUAUAUAUCCUGUAAUGGAAGCACUAUUGUUGAAUCAAAAGGUAAAAACAUGGGACUGUGUGGAAUAUUUUGAUUAUUUAAAUACCUCGACCUUCUACACCUUAAACUUGUACUUAAUUCUGUAAUACCUCUUCCUUCACUUUAGGUCUUCAACAGAAUUCAAUAUCGCUGCUAUUCAUGUGUAUCUACACCAUGAACAUUCCCAAGUGAUGAGAUGAAACAUAAAGAUCAUACCUUGGAACCAGUACGUAAAUAGUUAUCAAAGGUA